UUUUUGUAGAGACGGGGUUUCACCACGUUGGUCAGGCUGGUCUUGAACUCCUGACCUCAGGUGAUCUGCCCGUCUUGGCCUCCCAAAGUGCUGGGAUUACAGGCAUGAGCCACCGUGCCCCGCUAAUCUGUGGGGCUGUUUAAACUGAGUGGUGUCAGCUGUUCUGCUGGAAUUCAGAAUCUGCAUAAAGCCUUAUGAUUCAAAUGUCAGAGAUCUGCACUAUGGGAACAAUGGGAAUGCAAAUGCAUGUGGACCAUGUUUUCAGUCUUUCCAGUUGAUUGUGGCCUCCAAGAAGAGCAUAAUUUCCAUUUGAUCUGUAAUACUUCCCUUAUCCUUUGUGUGAUCUCAGAAAUAAAAGAAGGAUUAUCGUUGCUUGGUAUAGAGCAAGGAAGUCCAAAAAUAGAGGAAUGAUUUCUUUUAACAGAGGCUCAGCUACUUCUACAGCUUUCUCAGACUCGCUCGGGUAGGCUUCACCCUCUUGCUCAGAUUUCCUGGGCUCUGAGAAAAGGAGAAGGACACAGACUCUGCUCUUCAGAUCCACACACAGAUCCCCACUACAACCACUGACCUAAACUCGGAGUCUGAGUAGGAUCUCCCCAGCCAGGUGGGACUGAAGUGGAGUCUCUGGAGCCACCCAUCAGUAGCCUUAUUACUCAGAAGACACUGACGAAGACCCAGACAGGAAGAAAAGAAGAAAAAGCAUCCUGACUGAUACAUUAGCAAAGCCACAGCCCUGGAGAGCAAGGGGUGGGGCAUGGCAGACAACAGUGCCCAUGGCAUGCAUCUGCAGCUUGUGAACAAUAAACGAAAACAGGAAUCAUGCAACAGCAUUGCCUUCGGCAUCCAUGUGUUUAUGGCUGUCAUGGGGGGCAUGAUAGAGGAGGAUGGAUCAGCACCAGCUCUACAGGCUGCCUAACCUGGAAGUCAGUCUCUGCCUUUAGACCUGCUCACUUCUUUUGGGAAUGGAGAUAUCCACUGAACCCUUGUCCUACAACCUCAAAUAACGUCUUUGCAAAAGGCUUCUGUUAAACUCCAGAAGGCCCUGGAAUAACUUAAUUGGAAAAUGUCUGGUAGAGGACUUUUGGCCCCGUUCCCCAGCCAUGUGGAAAGGGCCUAAUUCCCGAAAAGGAAGGCCCUUCCUCCCCCACAGGGAGGGUCCCUUAUCUCACUCUAUCCUGGCCCGGCC
Molecule: long non-coding RNA, 1186 nt
Organism: Cebus imitator (Panamanian white-faced capuchin)
Lineage: Eukaryota; Metazoa; Chordata; Mammalia; Primates; Cebidae
Exons: 4
Source: RefSeq, a predicted model, not a curated record